RNAcentral lists this small nucleolar RNA (95 nucleotides) under Nicotiana attenuata. RNAcentral's name for it is "snoRNA snoZ266". It matches the Rfam family "Small nucleolar RNA Z266". From Rfam's summary of the family: Z266 is a member of the C/D class of snoRNA which contain the C (UGAUGA) and D (CUGA) box motifs. The record is from Rfam by way of RNAcentral. Lineage: Eukaryota; Viridiplantae; Streptophyta; Magnoliopsida; Solanales; Solanaceae.
UUACGGCAAGAAUGAAGAAAAAAAAUUAGAUGUGCGAGGGGUGUAUUCCUCUAUGAGCUUAACAUCGAGGCAUAUUUAUAGUUGACUUGCCUUUA